This 636-nucleotide ribosomal RNA is filed under the name Cora sp. Moncada 7124. Its description in RNAcentral is "eukaryotic LSU rRNA". The stretch from base 238 to 391 matches the Rfam family "5.8S ribosomal RNA". The record is from RNAcentral. Lineage: Eukaryota; Fungi; Basidiomycota; Agaricomycetes; Agaricales; Hygrophoraceae.
UCCGUAGGUGAACCUGCGGAAGGAUCAUUAACGAACUCUCGAAGGAUGCGGUUGCUGCUGGGCUUCUCAGAAGUCAACGUGCACACGCGCUCUUUCCUCUCGUUCAACCAAUCUACCCCCCCAUCUGUGCACCCCUCGUAGGCUGAGAUCUCUUAGCUUAUGUUCUUUCCACAAAGCAUCCUAAUAUAUCAACGAAUGGCACCCGUUCGAGCCUCGUCUCGACGCAGCAAUAUACACAACUUUCAACAACGGAUCUCUUGGCUCUCGCAUCGAUGAAGAACGCAGCGAAAUGCGAUAAGUAAUGUGAAUUGCAGAAUUCAGUGAAUCAUCGAAUCUUUGAACGCACCUUGCGCCCCUUGGUACUCCGAGAGGCAUGCCUGUUUGAGAGUCAUCGAACCAUCAACCCGAGCGGCUUUCGAGCUUCUAUCGGAGUUUGGAGCUUGCGGCGUGCGGGAAGGGCUCUCUGGGGCCCUCUCCGCUCCUCGCGGAAUACAUCAGCAGAUGUCCACUUGCGGCCCAGCCUUGGCGUGAUAACUGUCUACGUCCCUGGCUUGGGUCGCGUGUCCCCGGCUCUGCUUCGAACGGUCGCCGUUCUGGCGACGGGAUGGACUGACAAAUUGACCUCAAAUCAGGCAG